RNAcentral lists this long non-coding RNA (1025 nucleotides) under Sinocyclocheilus grahami. RNAcentral's name for it is "lncRNA (ENSSGRG00000002919.1)". Lineage: Eukaryota; Metazoa; Chordata; Actinopteri; Cypriniformes; Cyprinidae. The record is from RNAcentral.
AAAGAACUAAUAAUAAAAAAAAUCUCUUUUUUUUUUAUCCAUAUAGAAAUGCAGCAUCAAGAUUUUGAAUCGCAUAGCAGAGAAGAAAUGACCCCGACACAAAGAGACACAUCUUUCAUUCGCCUGACAGUUAAAAACAAUGUCCGUUUCACUAAAGACGGAUUUGUGCCGUGGAUGGAUACACCAGAGUAUUCGUCACCAACCCAUACCAGAUACUUCAUCUUGGAUGACGAUAAUGAAUCUCUGAAAGUCCUUCAUGACGGAACAUACAAGGUUUCUCUGCAGAUUACGUACAGAAAAUUCAGUGAAAAGCCAGAAAGAGAUGAAAUAUUUCUGCAACAUGAUAUUCAUCAUUAUACUGAUGGAUAUCCUGGACACCUGCCCCUGCUUACCCACUGCGAAACAGUGAACAUUACACACUGGAGGAAAAGUCUGUUUUCUGAAGGUAUUUUUUAUCUCAAAUCUGGGGACAGACUCAAGGUGUGGUCCAAGAAUCUGAACCUCAUUGAUGUUGGAGAUAAAUUUGUGCAAAAAACAGUCUUUGUGGUGUAUCCACAUUUUACCCCGUGAGGAUACGGCUAAUACAAAAAACAAAAAGACAAUUUCUUCUGUAGCUUUGAAUAAGGAUCAAAAGGGCUGCCAUGAAGUAUCAUAUUUAUCUGUCUGGGAUGACCCUGUCAUCUAAACCGGUUCUCCUUUUGUUAGCAGAAUAAUUUGGAUCGCAGAUAUAUUUAUGCUAUAAUCAGUAGCAUAGCCAUGUACAGAUGAAAGCCCUUACCAAAAAAUACUGUGGUACAUUAAUGGUGUCACAUGGUAAUACUAGAGUACUUUGAUAUAAACUAUGGUAGUGAAAUUCAUUCCCUCUAGUGUCGUUUUCAAGAAUAUUGUGGUGCUUCCGUGGUAUAUGUUAAACAACUUGCUAAUAUCAUAGUAUUUUUCUUUUUGGUAUUUUCUUUUGUAAGAGAAGACUUUUCUGCUUCACAGCUGGGGACAAAACAGGCAUUGACUUGGGUUUUAAAAGCUAC